UACAGAGGGUGCAAGCGUUAAUCGGAGUUACUGGGCGUAAAGGGCGCGUAGGCGGUUAUUUAAGUUUGAUGUGAAAUCCCUGGGCUUAACCUAGGAACUGCAUUGGAUACUGGAUAACUGGAGUACUGUAGAGGGUAGUGGAAUUUCCGGUGUAGCGGUGAAAUGCGUAGAGAUCGGAAGGAACACCAGUGGCGAAGGCGGCUCACUGGUCCGGUACUGACGCUGAGGUGCGAAAGCGUGGGGAGCAAACAGG
Molecule: ribosomal RNA, 253 nt
Filed under: uncultured bacterium
Lineage: Bacteria
Description: partial 16S ribosomal RNA
Rfam family: Bacterial small subunit ribosomal RNA
Source: RNAcentral